Molecule: ribosomal RNA, 336 nt
Filed under: uncultured Pseudomonadota bacterium
Lineage: Bacteria; Pseudomonadati; Pseudomonadota
Description: bacterial SSU rRNA
Rfam family: Bacterial small subunit ribosomal RNA
Source: RNAcentral
AUUGAACGCUGGCGGCGUGCUUAACACAUGCAAGUCGUGCGAGAAAGGGGACUUCGGUCCCUGAGUAGAGCGGCGCACGGGUGAGUAACGCGUGGGUGAUCUACCCGGAAGUCUGGGAUAACGGUGGGAAACUGCCGCUAAUACCGGUUACGCUUCCAAUUCAGAAUUGGAGGGAAAGACGGCCUCUGCUUGCAAGCUGUCGCUUUCGGAUGAGCCCGCGUCCCAUUAGCUAGUUGGCGGGGUAACGGCCCACCAAGGCAACGAUGGGUAGCUGGUCUGAGAGGAUGAUCAGCCACACUGGGACUGAAACACGGCCCAGACUCCUACGGGAGGCUG